Lolium rigidum is the source of this 741-nucleotide long non-coding RNA. RefSeq lists it as uncharacterized. The transcript has 5 exons. The record is from RefSeq and is a predicted model, not a curated record. Lineage: Eukaryota; Viridiplantae; Streptophyta; Magnoliopsida; Poales; Poaceae.
GCACGGUGGAGUGGCUGGAUGUGUCCCGUCCGUGUCCGCCCUUGUUGGAUGAGGUGAUUGAGGAUGUGACGAGCAGCACAUCAUAUUUUUGGUGACAUAAAGAUACAGGUGCACUCCAUGAGAUUGAGGCAGGAUGGCUAGAUGAUGCCGCCUGCAACUGGAUCCAUCUCGGAGCCCCGACGAGGUCAUUGGGUCCAAACCUGAGCUCAGUUGGACUAUGGCAUCUAGCCCGACCAGAAGAUUUGUGUGGGAGUCCAAAGUUGAUGGAUCAUUCGCUAUCUCGGAGAAUACAUGGAAUGAACCCCUCGGUUGUGGAACUGAGAUCGAACUACAUCUCCGCGAUGAGGCUAAGGAGUACUUGGAAGAAGGCAAGCUGAAGCUUUCGCGGAAAAGAUGCAGACUGGAGGUGACUUGAAUCUCAUAGAACAAUUUGGUGUUGGCAUCUACUCAGGUGGCUUACUAUGUUGAAGUUGUCAGCAAGCACAAUGAUGAUAGACAGUAAGGCACCAUUAUACUUGUCUUUAUCACAGUACUGAUGCCUUGUGUUUUAAUUCUUCCCUUAAUUUCGCCUUGCAAUUUUCUUGAUGCUGUUAUGACGUAUUUUUCUCUAAUUGAUAUGUGUGGGAGUCCAAAGCUGAUGGAGCAUUUGCUAUCUCAGAGGAUACUUGGAAUGAACCCCUUGGCUGUGGAACUGAUAUCAAAUUACAUAUUUAUGAUGAGACUAAGGACACCCGGAGAAAG